GCACGACAGCAUACAUUGGAUAUAAAUACUGAUUUUUUUAAAUGAUAAUGUCAAAUUGUCAAAUAAAUAACAACAUUUCGACAGACCAUAUUUUAAUUGCAGAUACGAAAGAAUGUGCAGAUUUGAUCAAAAAUUGUUUACAUCGUAGAGCGUUAGCUGAGGUUUAAAAUGCAUCAGGUCAUUGUCCACUGAACCAGGUGGUACCUUUGAGGGGUAUAUAUAUCGAGAUCUAAAAAUCGAUAUAUAGUUUAACAUGUAAUGUUUGGCAGCACUGAAUCCAAAUAAACGGUUACGAGAUGUGUUGUGCGUGUUUUAUACAUAAAUUAAUAAUAAAGUUAGAAAUAUAUAACCGAGAGAUGCUCGAGAGAGGAGGAACAAAAUAUGUUCUUCACACGAUUUUAAUGAAAAAAGAAGAAUAGAGAUUGUAAAUCGAAGGGAGUUUUUAUUCGUCCGAUAUCUUUCAACCAGAUUUCUUCCUACCUUUACUUCUUUCAUAUUUGAUGAUGGACUUCAGGACUUCCAAAGGACUACAAUUACAUCCACUUUCUUCGUAUCUAAUCG
This is a long non-coding RNA of Frieseomelitta varia, 561 nucleotides long. RefSeq lists it as uncharacterized. Lineage: Eukaryota; Metazoa; Arthropoda; Insecta; Hymenoptera; Apidae. The transcript is spliced from 5 exons. The record is from RefSeq and is a predicted model, not a curated record.